Molecule: transfer RNA, 72 nt
Filed under: Araneus ventricosus
Lineage: Eukaryota; Metazoa; Arthropoda; Arachnida; Araneae; Araneidae
Rfam family: tRNA
About the family: Transfer RNA (tRNA) molecules are approximately 80 nucleotides in length. Their secondary structure includes four short double-helical elements and three loops (D, anti-codon, and T loops). Further hydrogen bonds mediate the characteristic L-shaped molecular structure. tRNAs have two regions of fundamental functional importance: the anti-codon, which is responsible for specific mRNA codon recognition, and the 3' end, to which the tRNAs corresponding amino acid is attached (by aminoacyl-tRNA synthetases). tRNAs cope with the degeneracy of the genetic code in two manners: having more than one tRNA (with a specific anti-codon) for a particular amino acid; and 'wobble' base-pairing, i.e. permitting non-standard base-pairing at the 3rd anti-codon position.
Source: Rfam by way of RNAcentral
GGGGGUGUAGCUCAGUGCUAGAGCGUUCGUUUUGCAUGUGAAACGCCCGGGGUUCGAUCCCCCGAACCUCCA